GGAAGGAUCAUUCACACUAUUUGAAGUGAUUGGCAACAAUUACUUCAAAUUAAAAACCAAAAAAAAAAUAAACCAAAACGUGCUAUGUUGUAACCCGCCACUUUAAUCGGUCUGCGGGGAUGAAGGAGUUCAUGGGAAGGUGUGAAAGCACUGUGGCCAUGCUCCUGCAAAGUAACCGGUCGAGGAGGAAAUGCCUUGACCCAACCCCAAAUAAUACCUUAUAUCACCCCGACGUGCCUUCGGGCAUCAGCCUUUGUUUAAUAAAAAAAAAAGCUCAUUUUUUUGAGUAUUACGAAAAUACAAAGAAUACAACUCUUUGCAAUGGAUAUCUAGGUUCUCGCACCGAUGAAGAACGCAGCGAAGUGCGAUAUGUCAUGCGAAUUGCAGAAUUCAGUGAAUCAUCCAAUCUUUGAACGCAAGUGGCGCUCUCGGGAUAGACCUGAGAGCACGCCUCUCUGAGUAUCGGUUUCAUUACAAUCAACUCGCACUAUUCGAAUUCGAAUGAUGUGACGUUGGAAAAUGAGUGUCUGAUUCAAGCCCUAAGUGUAUAUUAUUAGUAUAUACAUGGUGGUGUGAGAGUCAGUUGCUUUAAAUACAGUUGUGAAUGAGCGGUAGUGCGUAGUCCCUUAACCAAGCUAUAGUAGCACACUAUUGGCAUGGCAAUGUUUUGAUAUGAACACAUGGCUUUUUGUUACCUGUGACCCAUACUUUCGUGAUCGCAUUCUACUCAACUGUACGUAGAUAAUCAUUUCUUCCGUGCUUUUCUUUCGAGACACCUGCGGAACAAUGGUCAUUCCACAUACAUUGAGUAAAUAUGUCGAACUCGGGUAUGAACCACUUACCAAAAACGCUUGUCUCAUUAUCAGCAUAGCCGCGAAGUGCUAAUAGUUGUACUACUUCUAGUGGAGGUUUGUUCGGGCUGCACUAUGCUCCUAUUCCAAUCGAGAAUGAAACGCGAUUAUUAGCAUCUAUACUAUUCGUAGUAUUAGAUGUUAAUAAUCGUAAUAUAUAUCUUAAGAACGAUCUCAGAUGAAGCGAGGUUACCCCCUGAAUUUAAGCAUAUUACUAAGGGGAGGAAAAGAAACUAACUAGGAUUCCCCCAGUAACGGCGAGUGAAGCGGGAAGAGCUCAAGUUGAAAAUCGGUGGGCAAUCUUUUGCUCAUCGAAUUGUAGCCUAGAGACGUGUUGUCAGCGUGUGAAUCAGUUUGGAAGUCCCUUGAAACGGGGCAUCAGAGAGGGUGAGAAUCCCGUCUACGAAUUGAUUAUCGCCGCGUACGACGCAUGUUCAUCGAGUCGAGUUGUUUGGGAUUGCAGCUCGAAGUGGGUGGUAAGUUCCAUCUAAAGCUAAAUAUGGGCGAGAGACCGAUAGCGAACAAGUACCGUGAGGGAAAGAUGAAAAGAACUUUGAAAAGAGAGUGAAAAAGUACUUGAAAUUGUGAAGAGGGAAGCGCUGGAAACCAGUCAUGCUCUAAACUAGCUUGGCCAUCAGCUGUUUAUUGAUUAUAGUCUAUUAGUGGUCAAACCUAAUGUGAUUAGCAUUCAAUGGACGUUGAUGGUUGCCUGUAGUUUAGAACAAGUCAGGAUCCGUUCGAUUUGCCAGAUGAGGCUACGGGGAAGGUAGGGUUGGUUUCGGCUAAUCUGUUAUAGCCCUGUAGCUUGCUGGUGGAUUGGACGGAGGUUAUUCACAACUUUAUGUUGCGAUAUUGUAAUCUGUCGUGGCUAUAAGUUGUCCCUAGCAAUGCUAGAUCAGCUUAUAGCUGUGCCAUUGUGUUGCGAUAUUCUUCGAGUUUGUGAUGAUCCUGUCGAAAUGGUUUUCAUCGACCCGUCUUGAAACACGGACCAAGGAGUCUAACAACUAUGCGAGUAGCAGGGUGGUAAACCCGAGUGCGUAAUGAAAGUAAAGCCAAGCUUGUCUUGGUGAGGUAGGAAUCGGCUUGUCCGAGGCACUAUCGACCGAUCAUCACUUGUGAAAGAUUUGAGUGUGAGCAUGGAUGUUGGGACCCGAAAGAUGGUGAUCUAUGCCUGAACAGGGUGAAGCCAGGAGAAAUUCUGGUGGAGGCUCGUAGCGAUACUGACGUGCAAAUCGUUCGUCUGAUUUGGGUAUAGGGGCGAAAGACUAAUCGAACUAUCUAGUAGCUGGUUCCCUC
This 2147-nucleotide unclassified non-coding RNA is filed under the name uncultured fungus. Its description in RNAcentral is "sequence contains 18S rRNA gene, ITS1, 5.8S rRNA gene, ITS2, 28S rRNA gene". The stretch from base 1021 to 2147 matches the Rfam family "Eukaryotic large subunit ribosomal RNA", at positions 1 to 961 of the family's 3401-position model. Lineage: Eukaryota; Fungi. The record is from RNAcentral.